RNAcentral lists this unclassified non-coding RNA (243 nucleotides) under uncultured fungus. RNAcentral describes it as "partial contains 5.8S ribosomal RNA, internal transcribed spacer 2, and large subunit ribosomal RNA". The stretch from base 1 to 52 matches the Rfam family "5.8S ribosomal RNA", at positions 103 to 154 of the family's 154-position model. Lineage: Eukaryota; Fungi. The record is from RNAcentral.
AACGCACAUUGCGCCCGCCAGUAUUCUGGCGGGCAUGCCUGUUCGAGCGUCAUUUCAACCCUCAAGCCCAGCUUGGUGUUGGGGAUCCCGGUCACGGGCCCCCGAAAUGUAGUGGCGGUCUCGCUUGUCGACUCCUCUGCGUAGUAACCAAACCUCGCACCGGAUAGCAGCGCGGCCACGCCGUUAAACCCCCCACUUCUGAAGGUUGACCUCGGAUCAGGUAGGAAUACCCGCUGAACUUAA